Siniperca chuatsi (mandarin fish) is the source of this 663-nucleotide long non-coding RNA. RefSeq lists it as uncharacterized. The transcript has 2 exons. NCBI's taxonomy places the organism in Eukaryota, Metazoa, Chordata, Actinopteri, Centrarchiformes, Sinipercidae. The record is from RefSeq and is a predicted model, not a curated record.
AAUGCUGCUCCAUCUGAGCGAGCAGAGAGCCUUGUUUCAGCCUUGGGGCUCUUUAAAAGGCAUGCAGUUUGUGAUUUGGAAUAAGAUAUGUAAAUCUGGAAUGGCCUUUAGUAUGUUUCUAAGAGGAAAGUUACUCAGCAGCUGCUUUUUGUAACUGUGUCUAAAGUCAUUCCUUUUAAUUCUUGGCAAGAGAUACAAAGAGGGGCUGAGAGGAGAGAAGGGAGAGGCAUGGCUUAUGGGAAAUGGAAUGAUAGCUCAGACCAAAACAAAUUGUUUCUGGUUUCACUUGGGCCCGACUCUAUUAUCAGGAUGAGUGUCAGAUCAGACAACUGCUGGAGCAGAGACAGUCCAGAUGGAAGAGAGAAAAAAAGACCACUUGGAGACAGUUUGCACUUUACGUUCAUGCAACGGUUGCACACCCCUCCACCUCCCCAUCUCCGCCCAGUCUUCGCCGUUCCUUCAGCUCAUCAUUCCAUCAACCUCUUCAGCCAUCAGCCUCAGCAGAGUCAUCAGCCACCACCACCAGACUCCACGGGGGGAUUUAUUCUGCUGCUGCUCAGGGUAGACGAACUCCACCAGCAAAAAGCUCCUCGCGGAGUCUAAGCGCCAAAGACAAGAUUAACACCUCACAUCAUCUGUUAAAUAAAUACUAUCUUUACUUUA